RNAcentral lists this long non-coding RNA (250 nucleotides) under Brassica napus (rape). RNAcentral describes it as "long non-coding RNA (BNAP_LNC023837)". The record is from RNAcentral. Lineage: Eukaryota; Viridiplantae; Streptophyta; Magnoliopsida; Brassicales; Brassicaceae.
UCUUCCAUCCUCAGCGAUGAAUAACCUUGCUGGUUACUCCGUUGUCUGUUGGGACAAAACUUGGAAAUGUGUCCCGGUUGAUCACAUAUGUAACAUACUCCGGUGUUACUGCGAUAAUUGGUUUGGCCUCCAAAUUUUUGCCCUUUGCCUUUGUUAAACCUUGGACCCUUGUUGAAAUUUGGUCUUCCUCCUUGGCUAAACUUGGUAUGUCCACCAGAAUGCGGUAUGGUCUUCCUUUCAGCCUCCAAUA